GCUGCUGCUGCUGCUGCAGUUGUUGCUGCUGCUGCAGUUGUUGCUGCUGCAGUUGUUGUUGUUGCUGCUGCAGUUGUUGUUGUUGCUGCUGCAGUUGUUGCUGCUGCUGCAGUUGUUGCUGCUGCUGCUGCUGCAGUUGUUGCUGCUGCUGCUGCUGCAGUUGUUGCUGCUGCUGCUGCUGCAGUUGUUGCUGCUGCUGAAUCAU
This is a non-coding RNA of Pelobates cultripes (western spadefoot toad), 205 nucleotides long. Lineage: Eukaryota; Metazoa; Chordata; Amphibia; Anura; Pelobatidae. The record is from the annotation of a GenBank genome assembly.